AAGCUAGCAUAAAAAGCAACUCAUAGACGUCCAAAGCCAUUUCAUGUCUCUAACGGGUUCACUGGACCAUCGCAAAAUUGACCGUGGGCUGCAAUCUAAUGAAAACUUUGGAAUUAGCUAAAAAGGGAGAAAAACUAUGGACCUCUUUUUAUGAACACUCCGUCUCACAGGCAGGGAAUAUGGAGGGGGUGCAGGCAGUCCAAACUCCUCCAUGCAGUCUUCUUCCUCACUUAGGGCGUGGCUUCUCUCUCACUGGAUGAGGGUGUGGCUUCUCCCCAUGUUAGGGUGUGGCCUGUCAGCACCUUAGGACGUGGCCUCUCUGAUUUACCCAGAUUGCCAUUCUCAAAGAACAUCCUGACAACAUCAGCCUGUGGAUCUGUGAGAGCUCGCCUACCCUGAGAACCCCUGAGGCUGUGCUGUGUCUGCGCUGGUAGGCCCCCCUCCCCUCAGCAUGCUGGGUGAUUCUGCCAGAGUCUGUCACCCCGGCUGCUGCUGCCUCUCUCCACGUGUCCCACUCUAUCACUUCCUGUAAUUCUCACAUUGAACAUUAAUUUCUCAUGAAUAUUCACCUGUGUACCUGUAACCUGCUCUUAUCAGACUGGACACUCACAUACAGGAAAUGACUGACUUCAGAUCAGUUAUACUUUAUUGGAUUGUCUCCAGUUUUAACAGCUUCAAAUCUGAGAAGCCAACAUGCUGUCUCUCUAUUUAAAUGAGCUAUAAAUAUUAUGGUACAUAAAGCUGUAUAUCUUUACGCUUUGUUUGAAACACACUGCUGAGAGGGUGGUGACGUCCUCAAGUACAUACAAUCUGAGUUAAAUUGCAUACAUAUAAUCUGAGUUAAAUUGCAUACAUAUAAUCUGAGUUAAAUUACAUAUAUAUAAUCUGAGUUAAAUUACAGUCAGAUAGAAUAGAGUCUCUUGUGUUUUUCCUGAUAAAUUGUGCUCUUUUGCAUUUGUC
Molecule: long non-coding RNA, 960 nt
Organism: Megalops cyprinoides (Indo-Pacific tarpon)
Lineage: Eukaryota; Metazoa; Chordata; Actinopteri; Elopiformes; Megalopidae
Exons: 3
Source: RefSeq, a predicted model, not a curated record